This 253-nucleotide ribosomal RNA is filed under the name uncultured bacterium. Its description in RNAcentral is "partial 16S ribosomal RNA". It matches the Rfam family "Bacterial small subunit ribosomal RNA", at positions 524 to 776 of the family's 1533-position model. The record is from RNAcentral.
UACGAAGGGGGCUAGCGUUGUUCGGAAUUACUGGGCGUAAAGCGCACGUAGGCGGAUUUGUUAGUCAGGGGUGAAAUCCCGGGGCUCAACCUCGGAAUUGCCUUUGAUACUGCAAGUCUCGAGUCCGGAAGAGGUGAGUGGAAUUCCUAGUGUAGAGGUGAAAUUCGUAGAUAUUAGGAAGAACACCAGUGGCGAAGGCGGCUCACUGGUCCGGUACUGACGCUGAGGUGCGAAAGUGUGGGGAGCAAACAGG